CAGCAGUCGCCGCGGGAAUACGAAGGGUGCAAGCGUUAAUCGGAAUUACUGGGCGUAAAGCGUGCGUAGGCGGUUUGUUAAGUCUGCUGUGAAAUCCCCGGGCUCAACCUGGGAAUGGCAGUGGAUACCGGCAAGCUAGAGUGUGUCAGAGGAUGGUGGAAUUCCCGGUGUAGCGGUGAAAUGCGUAGAGAUCGGGAGGAACAUCAGUGGCGAAGGCGGCCAUCUGGGACAACACUGACGCUGAGGCACGAAAGCGUGGGGAGCAAACAGGAUUAGAUACCCGGGUAGUCCCUGUCUCUUAUAC
RNAcentral lists this ribosomal RNA (304 nucleotides) under uncultured bacterium. Its description in RNAcentral is "partial 16S ribosomal RNA". It matches the Rfam family "Bacterial small subunit ribosomal RNA", at positions 509 to 807 of the family's 1533-position model. The record is from RNAcentral.